Pimephales promelas (fathead minnow) is the source of this 794-nucleotide non-coding RNA. NCBI's taxonomy places the organism in Eukaryota, Metazoa, Chordata, Actinopteri, Cypriniformes, Leuciscidae. The record is from RefSeq and is a predicted model, not a curated record.
CAGAACACAACAGAGUGAGAUGGACACCGGAAGCAUUUAAAGAGGAAAAAGAGUCAAGUGGGUCACCGCCUGUCUCUAUCUGCACUGUGGCGAACAGAGGGAGUCGUGUUGUCAUUUCCUCUGCAGCAAACCCCAGGAGAAAUUUCAUGCAUUUCCAAAUUUAUUUACUAGGAGCCCUGGAUAGCAGCCACCCUUCAUUUCGAAGACUCUCCUGCUGAAGAAGGUGGAAUAUGAGACGCUGCAGUGGCCCAGAUUAGACAUGGAAGAGGAGAUGAUGCUCAACAGCCGCAUAAUGAGCUCCCUUUGGAGGAUAAACGUAGGGAUGAAUGUCUGCUUUUGUGUCGGGGUCAAAACAUUUCAGACUUUCUGGGGUUCAAGGACACACUUUUAGCUAAGCCCCGCCUGGUUCACCUAACAUUUGAAAUUGUCAUAAUUUAUGUAAGUACAUAAAUUAACUCCAUUCUGAAUGAUACAGGCAGCCAGUGAAGGGAUCUGAGUGUUGGAGAGAGCGAGUUAACAUUGGUCUAGCUGCAGUCAUUUCUUUUUGAAGAAUGUUGGUAUCAAAAGCAGUUUUGGUGCCGACUGGUUUCCAUUGAAUAGAAAUGAUAUAAUUUGUGUGUGUGUGUGUGUGUGUCAACUACCUAUCCCUUUUAAAAGAAUUACCCAUCCUGCAUUAGCAACUGUCUGAAAAGAAGCUGAAGAAGCGAAGUCUUCGGGCUUUAUUGUGUUAUCACUGACUACUUUUGUAUUUGAUUUUAAUGUAUGAAACAGUUUCUUACUGCACUGUAAAAAAA